CUAGUUCAACGAGAACCCGCUUGGUUCGCAGCGAGCGCAUAGCGCCGGAGCUCAGGAGCUUGGCUUCAAAACAGGGGCAUCGCGCAUUCCAUGUAUUGAAUAUGGCGGUUUACUAUGCACCGUCAACCUCAAUACGAAAACGUACCCAGGACAUCUCGAUGGGCAUCUCGGUUCCCUCGGUCGACGCAGUACGCCCGUUCUCGGUCACCCGGACCCAUCCACAGGUCGGCGUCGACGUGGACCGUAGUUCAUCAAGGGUACCCAGUUUCUUGGGCGUCACAUAGCCGGUGGUCGGCGCAGCCACGCCUCCUUAGGACUGCUGAUCUGGCCUCUGCCCCACCACCGUUCAGGGGACUCACCAUGUCAGAGCGGAACCCAGCUGAUCCUCUUCAGCCUUGGUCACCCGAAGAGGAAAGCAAGUUAUGCCCCGUCUGUCAGGUACCUGAGCUGCACCGAGCAACUCACCGGCGCGGCAACCUGCACCGAUCUCGUGUUGAGCAGGCCCACCGCCCUGAGACGAUCGACGUGGCCACCGCCCUCUCGACCCUCCGUCGGCUCCGUCCGGAGCUGCUACGCGAGACCGAGGGGCAACCCAGACAACCCUCUCCUCCCCCCGCCGGUGACGAUGACCUCAUCGACCUGGACCUGGACGCAUAAUCGUGAUUGUCUUCCACUGUGUACAUACUUUUGGGAUGGGGGAAAUGUGGGCACUCUUCCAUGUAUAUUGGCAACAUGUCGAUAGAGGGCGCAGUCCUCAUCGGUCCGCUCUUCGGGAAGGGGGGCGUGGUGGUGCUUUAAGGGAAACGGAUUUAAGGAGCAGAAGGAAGAAGGUGCGGGGAGGCUCUCCUUGGUGGAUGGACCCGUGUAAACUGCUGAGGCACGGAGGUAAAUAAAACUUGGAUGCAUUGA
This is a long non-coding RNA of Ornithodoros turicata, 909 nucleotides long. RefSeq lists it as uncharacterized. The transcript is spliced from 2 exons. NCBI's taxonomy places the organism in Eukaryota, Metazoa, Arthropoda, Arachnida, Ixodida, Argasidae. The record is from RefSeq and is a predicted model, not a curated record.